GUGGGUAGUUUGACUGGGGCGGUCUCCUCCCAAAGCGUAACGGAGGAGCACGAAGGUUAGCUAAUCCUGGUCGGACAUCAGGAGGUUAGUGCAAUGGCAUAAGCUAGCUUGACUGCGAGCGUGACGGCGCGAGCAGGUGCGAAAGCAGGUCAUAGUGAUCCGGUGGUUCUGAAUGGAAGGGCCAUCGCUCAACGGAUAAAAGGUACUCCGGGGAUAACAGGCUGAUACCGCCCAAGAGUUCAUAUCGACGGCGGUGUUUGGCACCUCGAUGUCGGCUCAUCACAUCCUGGGGCUGAAGUAGGUCCCAAGGGUAUGGCUGUUCGCCAUUUAAAGUGGUACGCGAGCUGGGUUUAGAACGUCGUGAGACAGUUCGGUCCCUAUCUGCCGUGGGCGCUGGAGAAUUGAGGGGGGCUGCUCCUAGUACGAGAG
RNAcentral lists this ribosomal RNA (429 nucleotides) under Klebsiella pneumoniae. Its description in RNAcentral is "partial 23S ribosomal RNA". It matches the Rfam family "Bacterial large subunit ribosomal RNA", at positions 2261 to 2689 of the family's 2925-position model. The record is from RNAcentral. Lineage: Bacteria; Pseudomonadati; Pseudomonadota; Gammaproteobacteria; Enterobacterales; Enterobacteriaceae.